AAUGAACCGGCCCCUUCAAAAAGUUUACAGCAGUAUCCCAGGUAAAGGCAAGUAAAGUGUGGCAAAGCACAGAGAAGAUAAUGAACCGGCCCCUUCAAAAAGUUUACAGCAGUAUCCCAGGUAAAGGCAAGUAAAGUGUGGCAAAGCACAGAGAAGAUAAUGAACCGGCCCCUUCAAAAAGUUUACAGCAGUAUCCCAGGUAAAGGCAAGUAAAGUGUGGCAAAGCACAGAGAAGAUAAUGAACCGGCCCCUUCAAAAAGUUUACAGCAGUAUCCCAGGUAAAGGCAAGUAAAGU
Polyodon spathula (Mississippi paddlefish) is the source of this 295-nucleotide long non-coding RNA. RefSeq lists it as uncharacterized. The transcript has 3 exons. The record is from RefSeq and is a predicted model, not a curated record. Lineage: Eukaryota; Metazoa; Chordata; Actinopteri; Acipenseriformes; Polyodontidae.